UCAGGACUCGGAUUACCCCCAUGAAAUCUCUCCCUGUCCCAAAGCACGUCCUGCGCGCUGGCUGAGGCAGGAGAAGUGUUCCAGUCUCUAUUGAAACCUGCGACUUCCACCACCCCUUUGGUGGCUGGGAAUGGCGCCCAGACAUGAAAUAACGAACUGAAACCCCUCCACGCGUUGACCAAAGAAAACAAGCUGUCAAACAGAAAUAUCCCCUCGCUCCUUUCCGAGGCGGACCCAAUCUCGUUCCCAUCUGCAGGCUGUGCGGCGCUGGGAAGGCAGCAUGAGGAACUCAGCAUGAAAUCGUCAGCGACGGCGUGCGGUGCUGUUUGUGCAGCAUAAAUCAGUCUGGGGAAUGAAGAGCCCCAUCUUCUUUCUUGCAGAAACAGCAGUUUGGUGAUUUCCUUGGCUCUGUGUUGCUUGCCACUGGACCAGCUGGCACUGGACGAAAGAGAGCGGCUGCACAUCUUCCUGCUCCUGGUGGUUGGGACUGUUAAAAGUCAGCCCUGUGCCACAGGUUGCCCCAGCUCUUCAGGUGAUAACCUGCUUCAGCAGCAGCUGUGCACAGAAUUUACUGGGCUGCAGCUGGGAAUCUUUCUCUUUGAUCCAUCUCUGCUAUUAAACAGCUUGUGAUAACGCCACUGAGCUCACAUCGAGGAGGGGAAGCCGAGCAACCUCAAUAUUGGAGCUGAGCAGCAGUGGGGUGCCCAUCUUAAAGCUGCAUCACCUCACUGUCUUCAAAAGCAAAGGAGCUCCUUUUAUAGCAGCGAGCUGCUCUCCAGGAAUGAUUAAAGUCUCGUAAACGAGCACCUUCCUCAUCACAGAGCUGUCUGCUGACGGGGUGCCAAGUACAACAAGCCCAAUCCAAAGCAUCAUCCCCUCCAUGGGGCUAAUUGUUGUUGCCUUGUCUCUUGAACAAGAAGAGUGGUAAGGGAAAGCAGAGCCUGGAGACACACGCACAUCCCUGUACAGAAAUAACCCCUGAAAUAGAACUGACAAGCAAUUGAGGAGUCGGCCUGUGGGCUGCAGACAAAGCACAGAGCAAAGGAGAUAACCGGCAGUGAGCACUGGGAAAUAAUGCCCUAAAUUCCCUCUGAGCCCAUUCAUCACCGUGGCUUCGGCGAUCAUCUCAGCAACAAAUUCCCCUAUCAUCCAACUGAAAUUCGAUGUUAAUGACCUGUCUGUUAUUUCAGGGGGAGAUUGUCUGGAACCGGUGGGUAAUUGGUAGGAAAAAUCGCCGGGUACAGCAAAGAGCUGAUGCUACUGGAGUCGUUACACCACGAGAGAGGGAGAUUAGGGAGCUCUGCUUACCACAAGGGGCUUAUUCAUCCUGAAUAAAUGCAUUAGCUGCCCAGAGCUGUCCUCUUAUGCCCUUGUUCCUGUCUGGUGGCAUCUCCCCACCACAGCUUUUCCCAGCAAACAGCAGAGAUGCAGCCCAGAAGAAGCUGCUAGAAUCAUAGAACACCCAGAGCUGGAAGGGACCCAUAAGGAUCAUCGAGUCCAACUGCUGCUGUUGAGACGAUCACAGUAAGGAAUAACCUGCUCUCUCCAAGCUCACACUGAUGUAUGCGUUUAUUCUGGAGUUCUCUCAGGAAAGACCAUAAUUACUCUAAUUUCUUAAUUACCGAAAUUAUUCAGAAUGACUCUGCAAACACCUCUGCCCUGCAACGUUUUGCACGAGCAGCCUCCCAGAUUGCAGCAGCGUUAGGAUUUGGGUUUGUUCCUCUGCUGGAAGGAUUUGCUGCGUUCAUUGCCAUUUCUCCUUGCCAUCAUGUUAGCGGGGCAGCCUGCAGCCCUCACCAAAAAUAGGAUAACUGGAGAGCAUCAGGGGAGAGCUAGAAGCAAGUCCAGAGGUAAAGCCUUGGCUCUGUUGCAAAGGAUAGCUUUGCUGGGACUUGAUGUCUGUGCUUUUUCUCAACAGUUUCUCAUUCCCAUCUUGCUAACGGGACCAGCACCAGUCAUGUUUCGGUGAGCACACCUGCUUUAUAAAUUAGCUCCCAGGAGUAUUUGCAAAAACAGAGCUGAACUGCAUGGCCACGGGACUGGGUUUGCUGCAGAAAUACCAGCACGUAUUCAUAAUAAAGCAGCUGCACGCUUUGCCCAGCUCUGUCUGUAACUUCCCGUCAUGUCCUGUACCUUUCUGGGCAGAAAGAAUGGGUGGUAGUGGUGGGAAAAUUGCAAAAUCCUCCUUGGCUAGAUGAAGCAAUUAUUUUUGAUGCAGAUGGGGCUGCUUUUAACCCUACGUAUUCCAAACAUCUCUGUAUAACCCUAUGGGUUCUCCACCGUUGUAGGCAGUGAUGGAGAAGGAAAAAAAUGGGUGAGUAGGAUUUAACACCCAGCCAGAACUGAACUGUACAACACCCGACUGCAGAAGGGUCGGUUCUAUGCCCUUUAUGCGCAGUAGGCACCGCUGCUGCCUGUCCCCAGCAUGGCACGAGUUGGGGACCAUGAGUGGUGAGGAGCUCUCGUGGUGCCUCUCCCUGAGCUGCAGGCACAAAGGUUGGAUUUCUUCCCUAUGGCUGCGUGAAGAGCUGCUGACUGCUCCACCAGGAACUGAGGCAAUAAUCCCAGCUUGUCGUUCUCCUUCUCAUGGGAGACUUCUUGUGCAAAAGAAGCAUCAGUAGAAUGAAUCAAACGCUGCGGUAGUGGCCCCAUUCCCACGUGCUCUGUGUGCUCUUCCUCUCGACUCACCGGUGAGGAGGCGGUAUCAUGGGGAGGCUGUUCUGAAAAUGCUUUUAAUUGAUUUAGUUCAUAGCUGUGUUGGAGCAGGAAGGUGUUCCUUCCUUGUGCCCGGGAAUGGCAGAAUGUCCUCCAGCUGCCCCCAGAGAUGCAGCGCUGUGCCCGGGUAGCACUGCCUUGCUGCUGGCCAUCCGUGCCAAGCCUGGGAAUGAAAGCUUUGGCAACAGCCUGGACCAAGCUCUGGUAUCUUCCUUAUCGAGAAGCAUGCUGAUUACUGCAGACAAAUUGGAGAUGAACUUGCCUCUAGAGCCCAACGUGUUUGUGAAAUGAAUUGCAGUUACAUGGGGAUUUAUUAUUUCUGCAAAAGAGGCUUUCUUAUCAUGAUUUUUCCUUCCAUCUUGGACUCAUUGCUACCAGACCAGGAACCUUCAAACAGAUGUGUUUGGAGCCUUGAUGUGGGCUCACAGUGGCUGGGAAUCUUCUUGUUAUUCCUACAAAAAACAGACUCCAGCUGGAGGGGAAGAAGAGCCUCCAGCAUUAGAGAUGACCUAAACAGCACAUGUUGCAAAUGAGAUGGGAAGUGGAGAACUGCUUGAAACAUCUCUGGCCCUUUCAGCAGAACUGUUUUCCCUUUGCCUUCUCAAGGCUGAGCUGCAGACAUUGCAAGAAUGACCCCAGCAGACUGCUGCUGUUUCUGUUUUGCAUGUUCACAAGGCAGCUUCUGAAAUAAGUUUGCACACUGUUGAUCUUGCACUGGACAGCCUCACAUCAGGUGGCAGGGAAGCCCCUGCUCAUGCUGCCCUGACCCUGCUGCUCUUACUUCCCAUGCUGAUGCAUCAGUGCAUGAUGUGGCUGGAAAUGAGGUGGUGCAGGGUGGUCUCCUUGGGUUUUGCAGCUGAAAUAGGUUACUGAGCUCCUGAAGGCAUCCACCAGGAUUGCUAUGGCCUGGAACAGCACUAGGAAAGAUGCUCUGCUUCAAGCUGGGGUUGUGCUGGUGGUGGGAGCUGGGGAUUUCAAAUCUUCCUACAGUUGGAUAUUUCAACCAAUGGCAUAAAUAAUGGAAAGCCUUCCAAAAGAAUGCCAUCCUAAGGGCUGUUCCCCUAAGAAGAAAUGCAGGUCAGGAAAUACAUUGGCCAUAUGAGUUUGUGAGUCCUUUCAAUUGUGAACAGUGCACUAAUCAAGAUUUGGCUAAUGGGUAUGCUGGGAUAUGCACACAGAUAUGCUCUUCUUUUGAGUCUUUCUCUUUACCUUUCAACCCCUGAAAUCAUCCAAGCUGCUAACACUCUGAGGAGGAUGAUGCAGCAAAAAUAAUAGUUUUAGCAAGAAGCAGAAAAAUGAGAUUAGCAUCUGUUUUUCUGGGAAAAAUAUCAACUUUUCCUGCUUAGAAAAUGAAUGGGUUGGAAACCAGCUUGUAAAACUCAAAGCCUGAUUCAGGCACUGAUUUGUCACGGGGCUGUCACCUGCAGUCACUGUUAGAGAGGAGCCCUCAAUGUUCUGUCCAAAAGGAACGAUUGCUGUCUGAGUUAUUGAUGGAUUCGUAUGUGGGGAAGAGCAAAUCCUGGUCAAGCUGGAGGACUUUUGCACACAUUCAGCAGCGGGUGAGUAAAGUUAGUGGAAUACAGAACCAUCCCUGCUCGCUGCAGAGCAGCCCCCAAGGAGCACAGUGAUAAAUGAAUUGCAGAAAGCUUGGAGCUUCAACUCGGCCAGGGGAAAUAACGCUGUGUCUAUCUGAUCUCUGCAAACCUGGCUUUCCGCUUAUGUGCCUGAUGAUAAAUCAGCAGUAAAUGUGCUUAGGUUGGCACGCCAAGUUUUUCCCUGGAUGCUGUUCUGUAGGCACGCACUUUCUUCACCACAAGAGUCCAGAUCUGGUGCAGAAACCACAAGCGUGGUACAGGCAGGCGGCAUCCCAUCCCAACACCAUUGCAUUGCCCUUGGCCUGCCAGCCAGAGCCAGCCCAGCACAGCCAUGGGAGAAGGAUGGCAGGCACUCCAGGAGGACCUCUUCAAACUGCAGAGAAGCCUCGUGAGACAUUCCGUGGAAGGUGGCAAGCAUUGGAUGAGUAACAUUUCCCCAUAGUGCAUUAAUCAACGCCUGCUUGGCCAAGCAGCAGUCAGUGUGAGAGGAGGACGAGUUGGGCUCCCAGGCACACGGGGAACUGCUGAGACAAAGAUUGCACACAGCAGCACCACAGUGACAAAGCUGCCUUGGUUCAGCACCCAGGGGCACUGCCACAAUCCCAGCUCAGAGAUGGGAUGGGAGGUAUGGUGUGCAACUCGUUGCUGGUUCCAUGAGAGCUUCUCCACGGCGCUCACACAGGGACAUAAAAUGUGAGGGGUGGCCUCUGUCCUCCUGGCACCGUGGUUCCCUGAGUGCAGCUCCCUUCCUUGAGCAGGAUCAGAGCAGGGCUUCGGAGGAUCCUAUGCAGAGAGCAUCCUCCAAGGACGUGUUUUCAAAGACUCUCCAUCUCCCAAAGGCUGAAUAAUCUCAAGAAAGGGCCCAGGAAGAAGUGAAAUCCUCUCCAGAACGGUCAUUUGCAAGAGUGUGUUUCCGUAACCUUGCAUUGUUACAGCAUCACAAGGAUUUGUCUCCUCUUCUGGCUCCAGCACGCAUGUUCCUGGCUCCCAUGGAGGCACUGUGGACAGCCCAUGCCAUACAACGUGCCAGAAACAUGACCUCCCCAUGAACUUCGGGCCAUAUUUUCAAGUCUGCGCCCAGCUCCUUGCAGGCAGGGCUGUCUGGCCAGUGCAUUCUGGCCCUUUUGCAUGGAAAAUGAGCUGUGUCAGCCUUCGUGGCCCACUGGCUUGCCAGCUGCAUCCCUAACAGCACUUUGCAGCCUCCUCCCUCCGUGCUCAACAUGUUGCCUUCACCUGGCACAUGGGACAGCAACGAGGGGACUGUGAGCUUGUCCUCGGUGGCUGGGGCCCAGCUGGCCACCCCCAUCUCCCCACUGCAGCCACCGCACGCUCCUCGAUGCAGCAGAACUCAAUGUACAGCCCUUUUAUUUUUCCUCCUUGGUUUUCCUGUUUCCAGAACAGUUGAAUAUUUUACUUGCAUCGUGCCCCAGUUCCCCAGUUUCCAGCAGGCAGAACAGGGCGAUCUGUACUCACCUCUUGCAGCAGCUGGUGCUUGUUCCCCUGGCAAAACUUCACUUUGGAGCUGAACCCAACAAUGCUGCUGACUCCAACUGAUUCUUUCUCCCCCAGCCUAAGGCACUUUAUGAUGAUAUUAAUAACCAGACACUGAGGUUCAGCACUAAGGAUUUCUUAAGCUUGCUGCUGGGGCUGUGAUUGAGCUUUGUAGCCAUCUCUGCUUCAUCCCAUGAUCCAUCAGGGUUGGUGGGGACACCCAGACCUCUUUUGGGAAGUCCCUCCACAGCUCCUCCCUCCCAUAGCACCCAUGGGGUCAGGGGCAGACCGGGUGCUCCCAGACCUCUUUCCUGUUCUGCCCUUAAUACAUCAAAGGGAGAUCUCUUGUUCGAUGGUUCUCUAUUAACCCUAUUCAUGAGUCUUUUAAUUAGUGUUGCCUUCUGCUAAGUAAUCGCUUCAGCAUUAGCUCCUCUGGGGCAAUGCAGAGCUGCAACAGGGCACUGCAGGAGCUGCAUGCUGCUGUUCUGCUUUCUGGACCUGCUCCUGCUGGCAACUAUGCCAUUCCUUUUGCACAGACCGCACAGUGCCAGAGCAGCCCACUAAAACUUGCAAAGAAAAGCAGAAAGAAGCAUCUGAAACCCCACCAGGAGCUGCGGCAGGUAGAGUUCUAUCCUUACAUCUGGGAAACCUCCAGCUCAGCUCAAUCCUGCUGAUGCACUGCUAAGGGGAGCUUUGUAGUGGCCCUAUUCAAAGCACUCAGCUCUGGGGGCAUGUUUCCCCCAGCACCCAGGAGUAAUGUUUCCUUUGUUAAUUCAGGGUCCCCACCAAUCUGCAUCACCCCAUGCCUGGAGGCAGAGCUGCCAUGGCUGCCUUUUAUCCCCUGCAUCCUCCGGCAGAGCUCACAAAGUGGUACUUUGUACCAGAGCAAGAAACAAGAGACGUGAGCUGUAAUACAGGAGAGAGAGAAAAAAAAACCCUCAUCUCACCCCUUGUGUUUUUCCUGGAAAUGUCACUGCCCUUAAUGCAUCAAAUAAUUAGAAUCACUUCUCCCCUUUUGUUUGCCUUGGCCCUCACUGCUCGCAUUGAGUGGGCCAACAUAAACCUGUGCGCACCACAGGAAUUUUGGGCACAGCCCAUUCUGCAGUGUUGGGUGCAGGGGGAGAAGUGGCUGCAGGAGCUUUGGUUCUGCUCCAUAUGUCUCUGCUGCUGUGGGCACUGCUGGGCACAGAGCUCCCGUAGAGAGGACCUCACUGCAACGCUAGCGCUCAACCAAGUGCUGGUCCCAAUGGAAAUCCACUGUCCUGGAGAGAAGCAGCAGCAGCUGAUGCCCAUUUAAUGCCAAAAUUGCAGAUUUGUGUUUGACCUGAGUGGUGGGUGUGAGCGUGAUGCUGGCGGGACAGAUGGGUGGAUAGCUCUCUGAAGUCCCAGUGGGAUGUUAUGCUUGUUGCUCUGUAGUUGUAGCCUUCUCCUCUGGGUGCUGGGGAGUGCUCCGAGGUGACGUGGGAGAACAUAUCCCUUGUGAAUGCUGGAAAGCUGUGCUGGGUGAGGUGGCAUUGCACCACUAAUCCACGCACAGAGGAGCCCAGCACCCCCUCAGCACCCCUUACAGACACAGAUGGACACAGCCAGCAUCACAGCCCAGCUGGCUGCCUGCCCCCAGCACCGCUCCCAUGGGCUGCAUGUAUGUCAAUGGGUUAUUAAAGAAACGGAUGGGGGAUUAGCUGUGCUGUAGGUAGAGACCCCAUUCAGAUUUGCUAAGUUUCAGCAAGUAUGUUUUCAAUAAUUGGCUGGUAUUUGUAAGAAAUGAAUAAAACCUAGGCUACUAAAGCUGGUCCUUCUCUUAUUAUAAGGCAUUUAUUGCAUGCUUAGAAGCAUAUGUCUUCAAUAUCUGAAGCAAAGGAAAGUAAUAUAUAAGGAUCCCUUCUUAAACACAAAUAUAUGCAGCCAUAAUCACAAUUAUUAGCCACCAUGAAAUAGCUAAGAAACUGAAGAAGCCCCAUCAGCAGCAGCUUUACAACUAGGGGUGCAUAAGAAAUAAAGACAAAGGCGAGAAUUGCCCUCUUAGCUGUGCGAGACUCCACAAGGCAGAGGAAGGAUCAGCUUUGCUGAGGAGUGUUGGCAUCUCGGAGAAGGUUCACAGAUGAAGCCAAUGGAGAAGGGUGUGCAGGAGCGGGGCAGGGAAUUGGGAAGCAGCGCUGCUGCUGGUGGUUGUAUCCUUCUGAAGAAAGAACACUGGAAAACCAAAGCUACCUGUCACUGCUGCUGUUAUCGCAGAGGUAUUUGGGAGAGGGUGAGCGAAUGUUUCUGUAGAACUGCGUGCUGAUUUAUUGGUACGGAGGGAGGUGCAGCGGGGAAACCACUGUGCGGAUCGUUGGCGAGGAGGGGCACGUGGUUCUCCAAAGAUUUUUGUCUGAAAACGCAAUCAGCUGAAGUCAGCGCUGCGCCGAGGGUCUGAGCAGAGCUCGGUGCUGCUCAAGGAGGCACUUUCAUGUAAGAGGGAAGAAAUGGGCCCUGGCUCGGUGUAUAUCCCUGUUGGUCUUCUGAACACUUCGCAUUGUGUCUUCCUCCUCACUGCACCGCCCUGAAGCACAUACAGAAAAUGAUUGCUGAAAACGGGGCGUCCGCGAGUCACAAUGAGCGCAAUUAAACCAUGGAACGGAUUCCCCAGGGAUCUCACGCAUCCUUGGCUGCUUGGAGGAGCCUCAGGGCGGGCUGCAGCAGCUCCUUCCCUUUGGUGGAGCAGCGCUGUUCCUCCUGGGAUUUGCUCCAAACGGACAGCUCUGCUCUGCUCCAGCUGCUCGGUGGGUUUCUCUCCAGCACGUUGCUGGUUUGCACAUCGUUUCAAGCCUGCAGCUGUUAUCGGGCUGUUGGUUUGAGCGUUGUUCACUUCCAAUCCCUGCCUCAUUGCAGGGGGAGACCAUCCCUGGAGAUCCUCCCCUCUCCCAUCUCCAGGGCACCGAUCCUCAGCCACUCUGAGCGCAAUGCAGACACCACACAGCUCAGCAGGUUUCAGUGCCUCUGCCACCAACUGCGACUCAAAUCCAAAGCGAUUUGGCUUUGUUUUGUUUCUAAGUUGCUGCUCGAGCUUUCUUGGCUCACAGGCAGAUUUUCUCUUCCAAGGUUUCAGUGGUGGAGGGCCGUUUCCCUAAUCCCCAAUAGUUUGAGAUUAUCUCCAGCCAACAAUUAAUCAGAAUCAGAAUUUUGCACUGCUUGCCUGUGCUGCCGCAUUGAGUGCAUGUAAAACCCUCU
RNAcentral lists this long non-coding RNA (9011 nucleotides) under Gallus gallus (chicken). The record is from RNAcentral. Lineage: Eukaryota; Metazoa; Chordata; Aves; Galliformes; Phasianidae.